AUACUGUGUGUUGGUAACAAGGCAGAAGAGCGGUAAGGGCUAGGCAAUGGGGGUCAAGUGACUUGCCCAGGGUCACACAGCUGGGAAGUGUCUGAGGCCAAAUUUGAACCUCUAGGCCUGGCUCUCAAUCCACUGAGCCACCCAGCUGCCCCCUGGAACUAGGUUUUGCAGGACUGCACGUAUAUAACCCAUUUCAAAUUGCUUGCCUCUCUAGGAGGUGGGAGUGGAAGGAGGGAGGGAUAAAAUUUGGAAUUCAAUUUUUUAAAAAAUGAAUUAAAUGAAUUAAAUUUUUUAAAAUUAAAAAUUGCUUUUGCAUGUAACUGGGAAAAUGAAAUAUUUUUUUUAAGUUGCAUGAUAAAUAAAUGACAAGCCACCUCAGUAUCUUUGCCAAGAAACCUCCAAAUGGGAGUCAGACAUGACUAAAAUGACUGAACAAAAGACUUAUAUGACCUUAGAGAUCCCCUCAUCUAGGGCAGCUGGGUGGCUUAGUGGAUUAAGAGCCAGGUCUAGAGAGGGGAGGUUCUGGGUUCAACUCUGGAAUCAGACACUAGUUGUGUGACCCUGGACAAAUCACUUAACCCCAACUAUCCAGCCCUUACUACUCUUCUGCAUUGGAAUCAAUACCUAGUAUAGGUCCUAAGUCAGGAGGUAAGGAUUUUAAGAAGGAAACAAAAUUAUCUAAUCCAAUCUAUAGUUGGUUCAUUUUCACAAAAGCCCAUGCAACUACCCAACGUCACACAGAGAAUAAGUUGGAAGAUCCCGGGUUUGAAAGCAGAUCCAAAAAAAAAAUUACACCAAAUUUAUUCUGGGUCUUUCCAGAAGGCUAAGCUAUACUAAUGGAUGGAAAGUACCAGAUUUAAAGUAAGUGUGUUCAUUUUAGAAUACUGGCGAGCUGAGGCACAUCAGAGGUCCUCGAGAUCAAGCCAUAGAAUGAAGGAACUGAAGUCAUUUAGCUUGAAGAAAAGAAGACCUGUGGGAAUGAGGGAACUGCCUAGAAGCAUUUGGGGGGCUAUCAAAUGCUAGAGGGAUUCUACCUGGUUUUUUAUCCCAAAGGGUAGAAACAGGAGCAAAGUGAGAGGGAGCCGUGAAGAGGCUAAUUCAGCUCUGAUUUUGGAGAAAACUUUCUAACCAUUGUUCAAUCAGUUUUCAUUCAUGUCCAACUCUUCAUGACCCUAUCUGGGGUUUCCUUGACAAAAAUACUGCAGUAGUUUGCCAUUUCUUUCUCUUUCUAAUUUUGUUUGUUUGCUUAUUAUUUAUUUAUUUUUAGGCCUUUACCUUCUGUCUUGGAAUCAAUACUGUGUAUUGGUUCCAAGGCAGAAGAGUGGUGUAUGAUUGAAAAUCUGUUACCCUGAAAAAAGAACUACAUAUCCCAAGAGCCCAUUGACUUCCUGUCAUUAUGUACUUCCUGUAGGCAGAGGAUAAAGGGCGUGGGCUUUGGAAGCACCCUCUCUCUGAUGUAGAAUCAGCAUUAAUGGCGGAAAUGAUGAACUGGAGGAAUCUCAUGUGAACUGGAAUGACCUCCAAGAAUUGAUGCAGAGUGAGAGGAGCAGAACCAGGAGAACAUUGUACACAGAGACUGACACACUGUGGUACAAUCAAAUGUAAUGGACUUCUCUACCAGCAGCAAUGCAGUAACCCAAGACAAUUCUGAGGGACUUUUUAGAAAAAAUGUGAUCCACAUCCAGAGGAAGAACUGUGAAAAAAGAAAGAGCUGGAAAGAUCUACAUGAACUGAAGCAGAGAGAAAUAAGUAGAACCAGGAGAACAUCAUACACAGUAACAGCAAUAUUGUGGAAAGAUCAACUGUGAUUGACUUAGCUAUUAUCGCCACUACAAUGAUCCAGGACAAUUCUUUGGGACUAAUGACAAAGAAUGCUAUCCACCUCCAGAGAAAGAACUAUUGGAGUCAGGAUGCAAAUGAAGGCAUACAAUUUUUCCAUUGUUUAUUAGGGUUUGUGUGUUGGGGUUUUGUUUUUAUAAGAUUUCUCACUUACAAAAGUGAAUAUGGACAUGUGUUUUGCAUGAUAAUACAUGUAUAACCCAGAUAAAAUCACCUGCCAGCACCAGGUCAGGGAAGUGAAGGAAGAGAGAUAAGUUAAAUCAUAUUUGAGAGAGAGAGAGAGAAAAAAAGAAGAAGAAGGGAGGGAGGGAGAGAGAGAAAGAGAGGAAGGAGAGAGAGAAAGAGUGAGAGAGAGAGAGAGAGAGAGAGAGAAAGGAAGAGAGAGAAGAAGGAAGGGAGAGAAAGAGAGAAGGCGUAGAGAGAGAAAGAGUGAGAGAGAGAGAGAGAGAGAGAGAGGAAGGAAGAGAGAGAAGAAAGAAGGGAGAGAAAGAGAGAAGGGGUGGAGAGAGAGAGAAAGAGAGAGAGAGAGAGAGAGAGAGAGAGAGGAAGGGAGAGAAAGAGAGAAGGGGUGGAGAGAGAGAGAAAGAGAGAUGCUAAAAAAAUAAAAUUAUUCCUUAGUAGCUCAUUUCCCUGGAAGAUCACCCUCAUCAACUACCUCAUUUCAUUUUAAGUUUUAGUAAUGCCUUUUGAUUUUCACACUACAAUCAUUUCCCAAUAUAGUGUACACUCCACUAUCCCACCCACACAGACCCCUCCUUGGGCAAAACCUACCAAGGUAAUAACCUCCUCUGACAGCAUAGGUAGUCUUCCACCCCUGCAUCCUCCCAUCUCUGUACCAAGAAGAAGGAAUUCUAUUUCAUCAUUUGUCCUGCGAGGCCACUAUUUAUCAUUAUAAAAUGUAUAUAUGCACAUAUAUUCCUUUCAUACACACACACACAUAUAUAUGAAAUAUCUGAGACCAGAUUUGCCCGAUCUAGCUCUCUCUCUGCUGAGCCACCUAGCUGCCCUGAUCAUAUUGAAUCUGGAUUCAGCUGUCUCUUUGUAAUAAUGGAAAUUGGGGCUGAGGAGUAAAGACACUUGUCUGUAGGCAGAAUGGGGGCUUGAGCCAAUGACUUCAAACCCAAAAUCCAGCCACAAUUCUGCUCUCCCUUUUUUUUUUUAACCUUCAUGAAGAACAAUCGUAGAGAACUUUUUCAAAUACCUUAUAAGCUUAUCUUGCUAAGAAAAGGACAAAUACACAGUUCAUUAUUUCACAGAGAGUAACCACCAACUCUUACUGGCAAUCUGCCCACCAAAAAGAGAUGCUUGAUAGAUUAUCAACUUUACAAAUAUAGGGUAUAUAUCCGGUAUGAUGAGAUUGUGGGCAAGCAUGCUAAUGGGCUUAAUUGCUAUACCACAGAGGCAUUGCUAAAUGAAAAAACAUCUGCCCAAGUAAGAGUUAGAUCUGUGCCAUAUUUGUACAUAGCGUCAUCAUUCAUUUCACUGUGAGCCAUAUGGGCUCCCAAAACUAAGUAAGCCCUUCAAACUAAGUCCUAAAUCUAACCUCUUUUCUUCUGCACAAUGGGCAUCUCAUUUCUUAGUUGAAAUGUAGACUUCCAACUAUAUAUUUUAGGCUCUAUGGAAUAUCAUCUGUGUUUUUAUUCCCAAAGGUCUGUGCCUCAUCUAGCUAUCCAACUCCAGGCCUGAAAUUAAUAAGCUUUUUUUUUUCUUUUAAAACCCUCAUCUUCUUUUUUUAGAAUCAAUACUCAAGUGACUUGUCCAGGGUCACACAGCUAGGAAGUGUCUGAGGCAAGAUUUGAACCUGGGACCUCCCAUCUCUAGGUCUGACUCUCAAUCCACUAAGCCACCCAGCUGCUCCUUCAUAAGUUUUUUGAUGAACAAGAAUGAUUAAACUUUUUUCUUUAUGGUCCCAGAGAAAAAGUAGAUAGUAUUUUGUAGGUAGACUGGCCCUGGAUAUCCAGUCAUCACUAUCCAAUAGGAAAACUGGUAAAUUAGUGAGUUCUCUCUUUUAGAAGGGACAAAGGUAAAAUAAAACUCUUUAAGAGUUUUGUGUCCUUCUCAGAGUCCUCUUAUCCUUAAGUUGUCUCACAAAGCCUGUUUUCAAGAUCAAUAUAUUUUGCUUGUAUAAAGAUCAUGUUUUUCCUUUUUUUCCUUCUUUCUUUUUUCUUCCUCUUUCUUCCU
Molecule: non-coding RNA, 4020 nt
Organism: Monodelphis domestica (gray short-tailed opossum)
Lineage: Eukaryota; Metazoa; Chordata; Mammalia; Didelphimorphia; Didelphidae
Source: RefSeq, a predicted model, not a curated record